Molecule: long non-coding RNA, 632 nt
Filed under: Bos taurus (domestic cattle)
Lineage: Eukaryota; Metazoa; Chordata; Mammalia; Artiodactyla; Bovidae
Description: long non-coding RNA NONBTAT022450
Source: RNAcentral
AAAAAACAAAAACAAAUUUUUAUCACGUCGGUAAGGAGAUUUCACAUGUUAGAGCAGGCACAUUGACUCCCUAUGAUACAAAUUAUAAUAUAUUCCAAUAUUAGUGAAAGGCCUAAACUCAAGUCCAGCUUCUUAUGAUUAUGCUAAUAUAUGCUCAUUCUGACAAAGAAUAAGGUGCCUAGCCAAAACGAUACUAUCAAAUAAUGACCUGGAUUAAAACAAUUAUAUCCCACAUUUAUUGGUUCAUUUUUCUCUAGUUGCUAUUUUUGUUUUGACCAAUGAUAUCUCUUCACAUUGUGAUAAGAAACUUUUCAGCAUGAAUGCUGCUUACAAAGAAACACAACAGCUUUAUUUGCUAGUCUACUUGUGUUUAUUGUUUUAUAAUGUAUCCAGAAACUUCUCGGGGUUAAAUCUCUUCUAAACAGUUGGCUCUUUAAAAUGUAUUCCUUGCAUUCUUAGUUGAGCAUUAGACUAAAAUAUCAUCAGUUAAGAUACCCCUUCCAAGUAAUUUUUUGAUGUAUUUGAUCAACAAGCACAUAGAAGUCCUAAGGCAACAACCACAGAUGUAGGACUCAUUUCAUUUACCCAAACAUUUUGUAAUAAUUUCAGUAUGAUUAGUCAACCACUUAGGG